This 1612-nucleotide unclassified non-coding RNA is filed under the name uncultured fungus. RNAcentral describes it as "sequence contains 18S rRNA gene, ITS1, 5.8S rRNA gene, ITS2, 28S rRNA gene". The stretch from base 564 to 1612 matches the Rfam family "Eukaryotic large subunit ribosomal RNA", at positions 1 to 961 of the family's 3401-position model. Lineage: Eukaryota; Fungi. The record is from RNAcentral.
GGAAGGAUCAUUAACGAAUCGUGUUGGUGCAUAUUUUAGUGUGCAUCACAUAUGUGCUCUCCAGGCAACUGGGGGUGCAAAUAUAUAUACAUAUAUGUGUUUUUUGUACUUUUGAUUUAACGUCGUACGAUGUUGGUAGUAAUAUCAAAAUCAUAUGAUCAAGAAAUAUAUGACACUUUUAACAAUGGAUCUCUUGGCUCUUGCAUCGAUGAAGAACGCAGUAAUGUGCGAAAAGUAAUGCGAAUUGCAUACCUCUGCGAGUCAUCUAGUCUUUGAACGCAAAUGGCACUGCUACGACGAGUGGCAGUAUGUCUGUUUGAGAACCGCAAAACCCAUCACCAUAUUUUAUGGUGGACUUGUCCCUUGUGUUGUAAAGUGUAUCUUAUCAUAUAUUAUAUUAUAUUGUAUGCUUACAUAUGGGAUUAAAACACUAGUGUUGCGGGCACUCUAAGAGUAUGUGAUAAUCAUUCAUAUUCCAGGGAGCUUCGUGAUGAUUUGAUUAUAUGAUGUAUCAUAUGAACAUCACAUCAUCCGCGUAACACCAAAACUAUAUCAUUUAAACACGGUCUCAAAUCAGACAAGAUUACCCGCUGAACUUAAGCAUAUCAGUAAGCGGAGGAAAAGAAACUAACAAGGAUUCCCGUAGUAACUGCGAGUGAAGUGGGAAUAGCUCAAAUUUAAAAUCUGGUCCACCUGUGGAUCCGAAUUGUAGUCUAUAGAGGUGCUUUCUUGGGGACGUGUGCGCACAAGUGUCCUGGAAUGGACCAUCACAGAGGGUGAGAAUCCCGUUUGGGCGCAUAACGUCCUCAUCUAUGAGGCACUCUCGAAGAGUCGAGUUGUUUGGGAAUGCAGCUCAAAUUGGGUGGUAAACUUCAUCCAAGGCUAAAUAUUGGCAAGAGACCGAUAGCGAACAAGUACCGUGAGGGAAAGAUGAAAAGCACCUUGAAAAGGGAGUGAAAUAGCGCGUGAAAUUGUUAAAAGGGAAACGAUUGACGCCAGCAUUGUGUGCAUGUGUGGGGGGUGCUUGUGCAUACUGUGAGAGCGAAAGCCUUGCACGUGCAUUACACACCCGACACGGCACGCGAGUCAGGGCCGCUUCGACCUGCCUUAUAAUACUGUGGGAAGGUAGUCAUCACUUGUGAUGACCUUAUAGCCCAGAGGGAUGUGGUGGGAUGGAGCUGGUAGUGUGGAAUGUUUCUGAUUGCGUGUUUUGUGCUUGUAGACUGCGUGCAGACUAUAAACAUAGGAUAUGUAAUAACACUAACUACAUCACACAGGCCUGACGGAAUGGCGUUAACCGACCCGUCUUGAAACACGGACCAAGGAGUCUAACAUGUAUGCGAGUGUUUGGGUGGCAAACCCGAGCGCGCAAUGAAAGUAAUUAGUGUGGGACCACGUCAAGUGGGCACCACGGACCGAUCUUGAUAUCUCUUGAUAGACUCGAGUCAGAGCAUAAAUGUUGGGACCCGAAAGAUGGUGAACUAUGCCUGGAUAGGAUGAAGCCAGAGGAAACUCUGGUGGAGGUCCGCCGCCGUUCUGACGUGCAAAUCGAUGGUCAAAUUUGGGCAUAGGGGCGAAAGACUAAUCGAACCAUCUAGUAGCUGGUUCCCUC